GUAGUGAGAUAUAUUAUGAUCUCUAUCACAAGAUCAUCGAAACUCUUUUCGAUGGAUUGGAAUAUUUUCAAUUCUACUCUUCGAGGGCCAUCGAUCAUUAAGACGAUGCCCGAUGAGUCUUACAAUCUACUAGUGACACCUAGCAAGAUGUAGUGACAAUCUAGUAAAAUAAAAGUAUGAAUCCUUAGGUACAGUUAUCGUAUG
RNAcentral lists this long non-coding RNA (204 nucleotides) under Elaeis guineensis (African oil palm). Its description in RNAcentral is "long non-coding RNA (EGUI_LNC048339)". The record is from RNAcentral. Lineage: Eukaryota; Viridiplantae; Streptophyta; Magnoliopsida; Arecales; Arecaceae.